ACUCUCUGCACUCUCCCAGGAGCCAAACAAUAUCAGACAUGAUGCACUCAGGUACGGUGCUACCAUCAUGUUGUCCUCCCCUGCAUGACCAGCAGCUCCCUGGGCUGAGACGGAAUAUGAGGAGACUACAAAACCUCAUGCAACAGAACACAAUUUUGAAGGUCUUGGACUACUUUCUGAUGAAGUAAAGACAGAGCUUGUAGCGCCUGGAGAAAAAGCUGAAAGUCAGGCUGAAAGGUAUAGAAGAGGAAAUAAGUCAGCGGUAACUUCUCCUUAGCAACCAAAGGGAUUUUGGCUGUCAUUUUCUAUAAUACAGUACAAAUUUACUUACAUGUGUGAUUAUUAUAGUAUCCCAAUACAUUUUCUAAGAUUUGUUUGGUAA
This is a long non-coding RNA of Pseudophryne corroboree (corroboree frog), 382 nucleotides long. RefSeq lists it as uncharacterized. The transcript is spliced from 2 exons. Lineage: Eukaryota; Metazoa; Chordata; Amphibia; Anura; Myobatrachidae. The record is from RefSeq and is a predicted model, not a curated record.